AACGAACGCUGGCGGCAUGCCUAACACAUGCAAGUCGAGCGAGACCUUCGGGUCUAGUGGCGCACGGGUGCGUAACGCGUGGGAACCUGCCCUUAGGUUCGGAAUAACUCCCCGAAAGGGGUGCUAAUACCGGAUAAUGUCUUCGGACCAAAGAUUUAUCGCCUUUGGAUGGGCCCGCGUUGGAUUAGCUAGUUGGUAGGGUAAAAGCCUACCAAGGCGACGAUCCAUAGCUGGUCUGAGAGGAUGAUCAGCCACACUGGGACUGAGACACGGCCCAGACUCCUACGGGAGGCAGCAGUGGGAAUAUUGGACAAUGGGCGAAAGCCUGAUCCAGCAAUGCCGCGUGAGUGAUGAAGGCCUUAGGGUUGUAAAGCUCUUUUACCCGGGAUGAUAAUGACAGUACCGGGAGAAUAAGCUCCGGCUAACUCCGUG
RNAcentral lists this ribosomal RNA (432 nucleotides) under uncultured bacterium. RNAcentral's name for it is "partial 16S ribosomal RNA". It matches the Rfam family "Bacterial small subunit ribosomal RNA", at positions 29 to 507 of the family's 1533-position model. The record is from RNAcentral.